This 463-nucleotide ribosomal RNA is filed under the name uncultured bacterium. Its description in RNAcentral is "partial 16S ribosomal RNA". It matches the Rfam family "Bacterial small subunit ribosomal RNA", at positions 28 to 507 of the family's 1533-position model. The record is from RNAcentral.
GAUGAACGCUGACAGAAUGCUUAACACAUGCAAGUCUUUGGCGAAUCUGUGCUUGCACAGGCUAGCCAAGGCGGACGGGUGAGUAACGCGUAAAGAACUUGCCCUGCAGACAGGGAUAACAGACGGAAACGACUGAUAACACCUGAUACAGUUGCCGGCACGCAUGUGCCUGGCAAUGAAAAGAGAUGCUGCAGGAGAGCUUUGCGUCCUAUUAGCUUGUUGGUGAGGUGACGGCUCACCAAGGCGAUGAUAGGUAGCCGGCCCGAGAGGGUGAACGGCCACAAGGGGACUGAGAUACGGCCCUUACUCCUACGGGAGGCAGCAGUGGGGAAUAUUGGACAAUGGGGGCAACCCUGAUCCAGCAAUUCUGUGUGCACGAAGAAGGUUUUCGGAUUGUAAAGUGCUUUCAGCAGGGAAGAAGAAAGUGACGGUACCUGCAGAAGAAGCGACGGCUAAAUACGUG